UUUACCUCCAUUGUUCCACCAAUUAAGUGGAUUUAAUGUUUGCCAGUUCCAAAACCAAGCUGUGGUUGUAUCAAACAUUGACAAUAUGCUGACAAGUGUCACAAACAACAACGAUUUCAUCUUUGAUAUUAAAGUGUUCUAAAAUAAUAUCGAGAGACGUUAUGAGUUAAUUGCUCAUGGAUGAUUCUGUAGAAGGCCAGAGGUAAAAGACAGAAUGAUGUUGAUCAAGGUCUACAGAUUGUCCAAAUACGAAGAACAAACAAAAGCAAUUAAUUAAGCAAUGUGAUGUACUGCAGUAGAACAAACAACAGCAAAUUAAGCAAUGGAUCGGAUUUGCAAAAUGGCGUCGAU
Molecule: non-coding RNA, 351 nt
Organism: Paramuricea clavata
Lineage: Eukaryota; Metazoa; Cnidaria; Anthozoa; Malacalcyonacea; Plexauridae
Source: the annotation of a GenBank genome assembly